Molecule: ribosomal RNA, 464 nt
Filed under: uncultured bacterium
Lineage: Bacteria
Description: bacterial SSU rRNA
Rfam family: Bacterial small subunit ribosomal RNA
Source: RNAcentral
GAGUUUGAUCGUGGCUCAGGACGAACGCUGGCGGCAUGCCUAACACAUGCAAGUCGAACGGGGUUGGAAACAACCCAGUGGCGGACGGGUGCGUAACACGUGAGCAACCUGCCCUUUACAACGGGAUAACACAGAGAAAUUUGUGCUAAUACGGUAUGAGACCACAGCGCGGCAUCGCGGAGUGGUUAAAAGUUCAGGCGGUAAAGGAGGGGCUCGCGGCCCAUUAGAUAGUUGGUGAGGUAACGGCUCACCAAGUCGACGAUGGGUAGCCGACCUGAGAGGGUGAUCGGCCACACUGGAACUGAGAUACGGUCCAGACUCCUACGGGAGGCAGCAGUGGGGAAUAUUGGGCAAUGGAGGCAACUCUGACCCAGCAAUGCCGCGUGAAUGAAGAAGGUCUUCGGAUUGUAAAGUUCUUUAAUCAGGGACGAACAAGGUGACGGUACCUGAGGAAUAAGCCACGG